Molecule: unclassified non-coding RNA, 229 nt
Filed under: plant metagenome
Description: partial contains small subunit ribosomal RNA, internal transcribed spacer 1, and 5.8S ribosomal RNA
Source: RNAcentral
UCUCCGUAGGUGAACCUGCGGAGGGAUCAUUACGGGGUUUUUGCCCGCAAGGGUAGAUCUCCCACCCUAUGUUAUUCCUUCUCUGUUGCUUUGGCGGGCCGCCCGGCCUCGGUCAGGCCACCGGCUCCGGCUGGUGAGCGCCCGCCAGAGGACCCCAAACCCUAAAUGUCAGUGUCGUCUGAGUACUAUAUAAUAGUUAAAACUUUCAACAACGGAUCUCUUGGUUCUG